Molecule: ribosomal RNA, 493 nt
Filed under: uncultured bacterium
Lineage: Bacteria
Description: bacterial SSU rRNA
Rfam family: Bacterial small subunit ribosomal RNA
Source: RNAcentral
ACGAGUUUGAUCCUGGCUCAGAUUGAACGCUGGCGGAAUGCUUUACACAUGCAAGUCGAACGGUAGAGGGGGCAACCCUUGAGAGUGGCGAACGGGUGAGUAAUAUAUCGGAACGUGCCCAGUCGUGGGGAUAACGUAGCGAAAGUUACGCUAAUACCGCAUACGAUCUAAGGAUGAAAGCGGGGAUCGCAAGACCUCGCGCGAUUGGAGCGGCCGAUAUCAGAUUAGGUAGUUGGUGAGGUAAAGGCUCACCAAGCCAACGAUCUGUAGCUGGUCUGAGAGGACGACCAGCCACACUGGAACUGAGACACGGUCCAGACUCCUACGGGAGGCAGCAGUGGGGAAUAUUGGACAAUGGGCGCAAGCCUGAUCCAGCCAUGCCGCGUGCAGGAAUAAGGUCCUAUGGAUUGUAAACUGCUUUUAUACAGGAAGAAACACACCCUCGUGAGGGUACUUGACGGUACUGUAUGAAUAAGGACCGGCUAACUCCGUG